UUAAAGAGGACGUGAAACCGCUGAGAUUGAAGCGGAUAGAGUCGACGAAACUCUGAUCAACAUUCAAUCGAUUCGACGAAUAUCGUACGUCUGGCAUAUGUACGCGCGUAUUGAUGCUCAUCAUCAUCACUGAUGGAGAUGAGCGUUGAUGAAGGGGCGACAUUGCUACGUUGCGAUUUGCUAACAAUUCGUUGUAUGUAUGUGUUGUACGCCACGUGCGUAGGGCAUGUGCAUGUGAAAAAAUCGGUGAAUUUGUUGAUGGUAUGCGUCGAGUGGCUUGUCAUGGUGUAUCAUUGCUAUGUGCGAUGUAUAUUGCAGUAAUGUAAUAUAAUGUAGACAGUAGAUCAUAGAUGGCAUGCACAUCAAUGAAUCUUGUCUUGCGUAUCGUACGAAUCGAAUAAUACACACGCGCAUAUACACACACACGAACAUGCGCAAAUAAAGAUUGUGUAUGUGAGAACGUGUGUGUGUGUGUGUGUUUUUGAAGGCAAUUUGAUAUCACGGCGAUAAGUGCUAGUGUAAUGUGUAUGACCACUAACUCGAUGUGAACGUCGAUCACCUAUCCGACCCGUCUUGAAACACGGACCAAGGAGUCUAGCACAUACGCGAGUCAAUGGGUAUAUGAAAAACCUAUAGGCGUAAUGAAAGUGAAGACAUGUUUUUGUGUGCGUAUGUGCAUGUAUGUGUACAUGAUUGCGCGCAAGCGGUUGAUGUGCGAUUCGUCGUCGUUGUUGUGCAUGGAUGGUGGUGAUGGUGAUGAUGGUGAAAACCAUCAGCAACAGCAGCAGCAGCACAUGCAUCAUAUGGUAGACGAAGCAGCAUAGCCCCGUUCACGUUGUUUGCGUUCGUGCGAACGUACGUAAACAAGGGAACGGAGGAAGAGCGUAUGCGCUGGUACCCGAAAGAUGGUGAACUAUGCCUGAGCAGGAUGAAGCCAGAGGAAACUCUGGUGGAAGUCCGAAGCGGUUCUGACGUGCAAAUCGAUCGUCUGACUG
RNAcentral lists this ribosomal RNA (995 nucleotides) under Philometra nattereri. Its description in RNAcentral is "partial large subunit ribosomal RNA". It matches the Rfam family "Eukaryotic large subunit ribosomal RNA", at positions 388 to 912 of the family's 3401-position model. The record is from RNAcentral. Lineage: Eukaryota; Metazoa; Nematoda; Chromadorea; Rhabditida; Philometridae.